AGAGUUUGAUCCUGGCUCAGAACGAACGUUGGCGGCGUGGAUUAGGCAUGCAAGUCGAGCGGGAUUCUAAUUUUUCAAUUCUUCGGAAGAGAAGUUUUAGAUGAGAGCGGCGAACGGGUUAGUAAUAAAUGGGUAAUUUGCCCCUUUGUUCGGAAUAGCCACCGGAAACGGUGAUUAAUGCCGGAUGUGUUCGGGAACUGCAUAGUUCCUUAUAUAAAGGCGGGGAUUCUUCGGAACCUGUCGCAAAGAGAUAAGCCCAUUUCCUAUCAGCUAGUUGGUGAGGUAAUGGCUCACCAAGGCUUACGGGUAGUUGGACUGAGAGGAUGAUCAGCAACACUGGGACUGAGACACUGCCCAGACUCCUACGGGAGGCUGCAGUCGAGAAUCAUUGUCAAUGCACGAAAGUGUGAACAUGCGACGCCGCGUGGAGGAAGACGGCCUUUGGGUUGUAAACUCCUGUCAGCAGGGAGUAAGGAUGGUCUAUUUAACACAUAUUCCAUUUGAUAGUACCUGCAGAGGAAGUCACGGUUAACUCUGUGCCAGCAGCCGCGGUAAUACAGAGGUGGCGAACGUUGUUCGGAUUUACUGGGCGUAAAGGGUCCGCAGGCGGUUCGGUGUGUCAGAUGUGAAAGCCCACAGCUUAACUGUGGAAUUGCAUUUGAAACUGCCGAACUAGAGUACUGGAGGGGAGAAGGGAACACUUGGUGUAGCGGUGAAAUGCGUAGAUAUCAAGUGGAACACCGGUGGCGAAGGCGCUUCUCUGGACAGAUACUGACGCUCAUGGACGAAAGUUAGGGUAGCGAAAGGGAUUAGAUACCCCUGUAGUCCUAACCGUAAACGGUGUGCGCUAGGCGUGGGUGGCUUUACCCCCAUCCGUGCCUGAGCUAACGCAUUAAGCGCACCGCCUGGGGAGUACGGUCGCAAGAUUAAAACUCAAAGGAAUUGACGGGGACCCGCACAAGCGGUGGAGCAUGUGGCUUAAUUCGAUGCAACGCGAAGAACCUUACCUGGGCUUGACAUAUAGCUGCAUCCGACCCGAAAGGGACGGAGCCUUCGAGGGUGCUAUACAGGUGCUGCAUGGCUGUCGUCAGCUCGUGCCGUGAGGUGUUGGGUUAAGUCCCGCAACGAGCGCAACCCCUGUGUUUAGUUGCCAGCACGUAAUGGUGGGAACUCUAAACAGACUGCCUGUGAAAACAGGAGGAAGGUGGGGACUC
RNAcentral lists this ribosomal RNA (1214 nucleotides) under metagenome. Its description in RNAcentral is "bacterial SSU rRNA". It matches the Rfam family "Bacterial small subunit ribosomal RNA", at positions 8 to 1182 of the family's 1533-position model. The record is from RNAcentral.